Molecule: non-coding RNA, 82 nt
Organism: Paramuricea clavata
Lineage: Eukaryota; Metazoa; Cnidaria; Anthozoa; Malacalcyonacea; Plexauridae
Source: the annotation of a GenBank genome assembly
ACUCGGUACUUCCAACCUUCCUCAGAAUACUGAGAUUAAAAUUUUAAUCUCAGUAUUCUGAAGAAGGCUCGAAGUACCGAGU